Molecule: ribosomal RNA, 315 nt
Filed under: uncultured bacterium
Lineage: Bacteria
Description: bacterial SSU rRNA
Rfam family: Bacterial small subunit ribosomal RNA
Source: RNAcentral
AACGAACGCUGGCGGCAUGCCUAACACAUGCAAGUCGAACGGGAUCCUAGCUUGCUAGGUGAGAGUGGCGGACGGGUGAGUAACACGUGGGAAUCUGCCUUUUGGUUCGGGAUAACCGCGGGAAACUGCGGCUAAUACCGAAUGCCCUCGAGAGAGGAAAGAUUUAUCGCCAGAAGAGGAGCCCGCGUCCGAUUAGGUAGUUGGUGGGGUAAAGGCCUACAAGCCGACGAUCGGUAGCUGGUCUGAGAGGAUGAUCAGCCACACUGGGACUGAGAUACGGCCCAGACUCCUACGGGAGCAGCAGUGGGGAAUAUU